AAGAGAGAGAAAGUUAUUCAAACCUAAUCUCUUUUCAUUUUUCCCCCGCCUCUCAAGUCUCACCCUCUCACUUUUUAUUUGUCCCUGAUACUUUGUUCUUCUCCUUCCGAUUUUUUUCUCUUCGAAAUCAUCGAAAUCUCCUGAAAUCAAACUCAAUCUGUCCAAAUCAAAAGAAUUAUUACUUGAAAUCAAACCCAAAUCGUGAAAUCUGUUGAACUUAGUCUGAUUUGUGAGAUGGGUUCUUAUAAGAUUGAGCUUAAGCAAUUUUAUUUUAUCUUUUUUCUGUUCUCAGAUAGGGUUUAAACUCAAUCUGAUUUAUGAGAUCUCUUGAACUCAUCUCAUAAUCAAAACCCAUAUUUCAGAAGGAAAAUUCAAUUUUCGGUAACUCGUUUUAAACCUAGGGUUUUAAACCUAAUCUCUAUAUUUUUAUGAAUUUUACUUUUUAGUUUUGAGUUUGCUUUAUGUACAUCUCCACAUAUGCUUCUAUUAAUUUGAUAGGGUUUAAUUUUGUUUGCUUUUAAUUUUGUAUGGUAUUUAUAAGUAGCCGAAAGUCAUUUAGGCUUAAGAUUUACGGGGCUCUUUUACGUUUGGGUGCUGUUUUGAUUUCUCCUAAUUGAAUUUAAUCUCAUAGAUCUUGAGUUAAUCUGGAUUUUCUGGUUUCUCUGGUAGAUCCAUGAAGUUUCACUGCUAAUUAAUUCUGAUUUGAUGAACCAAUAAAGGAACGACCUAGCUGUCAAUCCCUCAGCCUUUAAUCCGUUAUCUGUUUAUAUGACGUAUUUGACUUCAUUGCAGAAGAACUAGCAUUAACUCUUUAGUACUUACUUUGCUUUGCAACUACAUUGGCAUGCGAAAUGAAUCCAGGUCACUGGCUCGGUGGUGGUGUAGGUAAAGGAAGGAUGGUGCUUCGAGAUCGUCCUGGAGUGGAAUAGGUCCUGCUGGGCAUUCAGCUAGUGUAAAUUGUUGAUUCAUAGUCGAUAAUUAUGAAGCAGAAGAAACUGGCUUAUGCAUCUGUAAUUAGGGCACUUGAUUUUGCAAUGACAAAGUAUUUACCUACUUGUGAGCGAUUUGUGGAUGUUAUGGGGUUGAAGACUGCAUUCGCUGCUUUCAUGGGGAUCACAAUGCCAAUAUCUAAAGGGGGAUUAGUGCAGACCAGGGGACAGAUGAUUCCCUGUGCCAUUCUCUGCCGGAUAGAUGUACAAGUGUAAAACAGAAAUGACAACAAAUGGCGACUUAUGCUUAUGUUUGUCGUUGGUCUGUACUGCGUAAAUAUUCGUCGAUGUAAAGAGCUGCAGCUGGAAUAAUCUACGAAGACAGACUACUUUAAAUUGCUUGUAUGGUAUUCAGUAACCACUACAUUAUCCACUUUUAUCACAUGUUGAACCAUGUCUGUUAUCAAGUUUCCGUAUGCAAUUAUAACUUGUCUGAGACUAAUGAAUAAGAUUGAAUUGUUUUUAUAAAUUA
Long non-coding RNA from Papaver somniferum (opium poppy), 1461 nucleotides. RefSeq lists it as uncharacterized. Lineage: Eukaryota; Viridiplantae; Streptophyta; Magnoliopsida; Ranunculales; Papaveraceae. The record is from RefSeq and is a predicted model, not a curated record. The transcript is spliced from 6 exons.